RNAcentral lists this transfer RNA (57 nucleotides) under Stegodyphus mimosarum. The record is from Rfam by way of RNAcentral. Lineage: Eukaryota; Metazoa; Arthropoda; Arachnida; Araneae; Eresidae.
AGUGUAAUGGUCAGCACACUGAGCCGGAAUUUCAGAGGUCCGUGGUUCGAUUCCCGG